AGAGUUUGAUUCUGGCUCAGGACGAACGCUGGCGGCGUGCUUAACACAUGCAAGUCGAACGAUGAAGCCGCUUCGGUGGUGGAUUAGUGGCGAACGGGUGAGUAACACGUGGGUAAUCUGCCCUGCACUCUGGGAUAAGCCUUGGAAACGAGGUCUAAUACCGGAUAUGACACACGGAGGCAUCUCCUGUGUGUGGAAAGUUCCGGCGGUGCAGGAUGAACCCGCGGCCUAUCAGCUUGUUGGUGGGGUAGUGGCCUACCAAGGCGACGACGGGUAGCCGGCCUGAGAGGGUGACCGGCCACACUGGGACUGAGACACGGCCCAGACUCCUACGGGAGGCAGCAGUGGGGAAUCUUGCGCAAUGGGCGAAAGCCUGACGCAGCAACGCCGCGUGGGGGAUGACGGCCUUCGGGUUGUAAACCUCUUUCGACAGGGACGAAGCUUUCGGGUGACGGUACCUGUAGAAGAAGCACCGGCUAACUACGUGCCAGCAGCCGCGGUAAUACGUAGGGUGCGAGCGUUGUCCGGAUUUAUUGGGCGUAAAGAGCUCGUAGGCGGUUUGUCGCGUCGGCCGUGAAAACCUGCAGCUUAACUGUGGGCGUGCGGUCGAUACGGGCAGACUUGAGUUCGGCAGGGGAGACUGGAAUUCCUGGUGUAGCGGUGAAAUGCGCAGAUAUCAGGAGGAACACCGGUGGCGAAGGCGGGUCUCUGGGCCGAUACCGACGCUGAGGAGCGAAAGCAUGGGGAGCGAACAGGAUUAGAUACCCUGGUAGUCCAUGCCGUAAACGUUGGGCGCUAGGUGUGGGGGUGGGUUCCACCGUUUCCGUGCCGUAGCUAACGCAUUAAGCGCCCCGCCUGGGGAGUACGGCCGCAAGGCUAAAACUCAAAUGAAUUGACGGGG
This 901-nucleotide ribosomal RNA is filed under the name uncultured Actinomycetes bacterium. Its description in RNAcentral is "bacterial SSU rRNA". It matches the Rfam family "Bacterial small subunit ribosomal RNA", at positions 8 to 918 of the family's 1533-position model. The record is from RNAcentral. Lineage: Bacteria; Bacillati; Actinomycetota; Actinomycetes.